Molecule: ribosomal RNA, 411 nt
Filed under: Bacillota bacterium
Lineage: Bacteria; Bacillati; Bacillota
Description: Firmicutes bacterium partial 16S ribosomal RNA
Rfam family: Bacterial small subunit ribosomal RNA
Source: RNAcentral
UGGGGAAUAUUGCACAAUGGGCGCAAGCCUGAUGCAGCGACGCCGCGUGGGGGAUGACGGCCUUCGGGUUGUAAACUCCUUUCGCUAGGGACGAAGCUUUUUGUGACGGUACCUAGAUAAGAAGCACCGGCUAACUACGUGCCAGCAGCCGCGGUAAUACGUAGGGUGCGAGCGUUGUCCGGAAUUACUGGGCGUAAAGGGCUCGUAGGUGGUUUGUCGCGUCGUCUGUGAAAUUCCGGGGCUUAACUCCGGGCGUGCAGGCGAUACGGGCAUAACGUGAGUACUGUAGGGGAAACUGGAAUUCCGGGUGUAGCGGUGAAAUGCGCAGAUAUCAGGAGGAACACCGAUGGCGAAGGCAGGUUACUGGGCAGUUACUGACGCUGAGGAGCGAAAGAAUGGGUAGCGAACAGG